Long non-coding RNA from Cebus imitator (Panamanian white-faced capuchin), 148 nucleotides. RefSeq lists it as uncharacterized. The transcript is spliced from 3 exons. NCBI's taxonomy places the organism in Eukaryota, Metazoa, Chordata, Mammalia, Primates, Cebidae. The record is from RefSeq and is a predicted model, not a curated record.
UUUUAAAAUUCAUAUGGAACCAAAAAAGAGCCUGAAUAGCCAAGACAAUCCUAAGCAAAAAGAACAAAGCUAGAGGCAUCAGAGUACCCAACUUCAAACUAUACUAUAGAGCCACAUCAACCAAACAGCAUGGUACUAGUACAAUGGC